AAUGGUUUUCUGUUCUGCUCCGUUACUUUUUACUGAAGGAUCACUGCAGAGAUGUGAGUCAUCGUCUUCCACAUGGUGCUUCGUUUCUUUGGGGCAGAAAAGUGAUUCCAACCAACCUGAUUGGACUUGGACCGGCCCUGUUCUUCUGGAUGCUUCUGAGAGAAAUGCCUAGAAUUGCCCUGCGAAUCAACAGUUAGGUGUUACAGUUUGUUGGAUUUUCCACAGGAAGACGUUUCCUCUUUUCCUGUGCCAGAAUACCCUUGCAUCCGAAAGGUGAGCUAAUUGCAGCCCUCAAUACUUAUUUGUUCGUUCAUUCAUUCAUUCAUUCAUUCAUUCAUUCAUUCAUUCAUUCAUUCAUUCAUUCAUUCAUUCAUUCAUUCAUUCAUUCAUUUUAUAUACCAACCAUCUAGUGGCUACACUCCCCUGGGCAGUUUACAAAUUUAAAACUCGGGACCCCACGUGGCUCCAAUGGCAAUACAUCAAUAUGGCGGUUCAGCAACAUAGAUCUGAAACUAAAACAAACAAAAACCACAAGAAAAGGGGGGAAAAGUUAAAUAUUAAUUUUAAUGGCAUCCAGGGGAUAAGUUACUGAUGUCAGCUUUGUAUAGUUCUGUCUUCACUAAUUUCCUGGAUGUCAACUGAAAGCUUAUUCCACAUCUUGGGGGCUACCACCAAGAAGGCUUGAUUCCUUGUUGUUAUCUUUUUGGCCUCCCUCAGUGUGGUCACUUUUCGCAGCCUGGAUUGAGAGGAGCAGGUGAGAAAGAUGCUCUGACAUGUAUUGAGGCCCUAAAUAUACCCCUCCCCAAGAAGGGAAAUUAAAAUGAGAUCCAGGUCUCAUUUUUACAGGAAGGCAAGGAUCCUUGCUUUGACAAGGAGAAAUCCUGGCAAGAAGUCUACACAUGGGAAGAAUGAGAAAAUGGCAAAGAAUGAGAAUUUCUUUCAGUAGUCUUCACGCCCCUAAUUUAAUGCACAUCUAUAACUGCAUGAUCUCUGAACAAAUAUCUUGCGAGAAAAGUAAUGGAAGGCAAUUGGAAAUAGCUGUGUAAAUGCCAAGGCAAU
This 1059-nucleotide long non-coding RNA is filed under the name Pogona vitticeps (central bearded dragon). RNAcentral's name for it is "lncRNA (ENSPVIG00000007759.1)". Lineage: Eukaryota; Metazoa; Chordata; Lepidosauria; Squamata; Agamidae. The record is from RNAcentral.